AAGUGAAGUCAAUAUCCAGUCCAAUCGCAUAUCUCAGAGCUUGGGUCUGACAUAUGUUCUAUGAGCGUAUUCGCAUAUCCCUCUCUGCAAAUUGGAAUCUGUGUGCCCACCCUUUCUCUUCUUCCUCUGUCAACCGCCCUUCGUUUCUGUCUGCCAUUUCUCAUGCAUUGCAUUCUCUUCGAAGGUUUUCUUUCUAGGGGUAGGCUUAUAAUAUCUCUAUAUUAUUU
This 227-nucleotide unclassified non-coding RNA is filed under the name Hevea brasiliensis (rubber tree). Lineage: Eukaryota; Viridiplantae; Streptophyta; Magnoliopsida; Malpighiales; Euphorbiaceae. The record is from RNAcentral.